Populus nigra (black poplar) is the source of this 2059-nucleotide long non-coding RNA. RefSeq lists it as uncharacterized. The record is from RefSeq and is a predicted model, not a curated record. NCBI's taxonomy places the organism in Eukaryota, Viridiplantae, Streptophyta, Magnoliopsida, Malpighiales, Salicaceae. The transcript is spliced from 2 exons.
UUCUAUGACCAAUUCAUUAAAAACUACCUUAAAUUUUUGGUCCUUAGGAGACUAGUAUUUUUUUUUAUAUAUAUAUUUACUAAAUCUUUUGUUGCAGCAUAAUUUUAAAGCUAUAUCUAAAAUAAGGUUUAUAUCAUGAGUUGCGAGAAUUGAUCUAACUUGCUAUGGCAACUCUUUGGGAUAUCUACAAAUUACUCCCCAACCUAUUAUAGGUUUCACAAACGGUUUUUAUCUUGAACCGGCUCAACACAAGCAAGAUUAUUGUUUCAUAUGUACCAAUCGAUUGAGUUUUAUUCAUGUGUUAAAUUGAAUUGGAUCAUCAUCAGGCCUGAAAUUUACAGGGGAGUGGAGUCCGGUUUACAAAGAAACCAGCCGAAUGUCAAUCUAUUAGUUUAUAGUAAUAACAGCUGACCUCAUUCAAAGAUCAAGUUACUGGUCGGUGGAUUAACGUGUGUUAACCUAUUUUUUUUUUUAUAAAUAAAAUAGAAAGCGCUUUGUUUUGAGAUUUUAUUUUCUUUUAAAAAAACUUAAAACUACGAUUGCUUUGAAAAACAUCAGUUAUCCUGUUGAUCCAGCGUGGCCCGGCCAUAUUUUCUUAGGAAUUAAGAAGACGAACCAGCACCCUUCAAUCUAAUAACAAAAAGCAAACGGUAAGCGAGCAGAACCUGUUACCUGUAUAAUUGAACUCUCAAUAUUCCUUUGAUUAUCCUCUUUCUUCUGUGUUUUUAAAACUUUUUUUCAUGUAAAAAACUUAAAUUCCACAGUAUUUGCCGUGCUGAAAUAUUAAAUCUCGUGUUCCCUUCUUUGUUUUGCACCCCAAACACGCACGUAUAUGUGUCUUUAAUCCCAUCAUUUCAUUAACAAAAACCUCUCCUCUCCUCUCUCUGCCCUCUCUCUUCUCCCUCAAUAAAAAAAAAUCUUUCUCAAUCAACAACUUUCUCUUAAUUAUCAAGAAACUGUCUUUCUCUAUCAAGAACCUCCACUCUCUUAGAUCAAGAACCUUUUCUUGAUCAAGAACUGCCUCUGUUCACCCUCUUCCCAUUUCUCAAAACUCCAGCUCUAUAGCCUUGGCAAUUUACUUCUCAUGGAUAACUUUAACCUUCGCUCUGCUUACAGAGGUUCGAAUAAUCUUGAGCGCUAUGAUUGUUUUGAUGUGCAAUGUGACGACAUGUACUGUUAUACAAUCACUACUGAUAACGAGAUAUGCCUCAUGCAAUGGAUUGUUAGGUUGUUUUCGCUUACCUUCCCAAAUAGUGGAAAAAGACUGAAGGUAUCUAUGGACAUGAUUUGGGACCAGUCCGUUGAUGAUCACAGCUUCUUCAUUCCUGUUGCCCUUCAAUUUUGUUAUGAGCAUUUUUGCAUCAUCUAUCAUGUUUCUCCUCCACAGAACUUUCCAAUAUUCUCCCUGGAAAGCUUCCUGAAUCACGAUCAUGUUGAUUUUUUCGGUUUCCAAAUGCUGUAUAAAGUCAGAUAUCUUCGUCAGCAAUACAAUCUUGUUGUGAAAAACUGGUUUGAUAUCUCAUGUCAGGUUUGUCUUUCAACCCCAGCAUUCCUCCGUAACCAUGACGUCAGCGUGCCUCUACAAACACUGAUAUCCGUGAUAUUCUCGAAGAAGUAUCUAAAGCCUGAUGACAUUCUUCAAAGCAACUGGAGGCUGCGUGAACUUUCUCUCGAUAAAAUAAUGUUUGCGACCCUAGAUUGCUUUUUUGUCUACAAGAUUGCAAAUCUGAUCACAUUUCCUCUUCCAUUAUAAAGGGAGGCUCAAAUAUUUCUCAAGAGACUGUUGAUUCUGAUGGUUUGGUGUUUAUUAUUCUCAUGACUUAAUGGCUAGUUAGGGUUACUUCUAGCUCUCUUUAGUAGGCAGUUUUAGGGGGUUUCCUUUGUAUGCUGAUGGGGUUUACCUGCUGUUUUUUUGAAGAGGAUGUUGAUGCAUCCUGUCUUGAUGAUAUUGGGUCCUUGUAAACUAGCCUACUUCUUUGUUGUAUGCUCAACUUUCAAAAAUUGAAAGAAAUCAGUGAAGUACUUUUAAUGAAAAGAAAAGAUUCGUGCAGUGAAAUAA